RNAcentral lists this ribosomal RNA (1016 nucleotides) under uncultured bacterium. Its description in RNAcentral is "bacterial SSU rRNA". It matches the Rfam family "Bacterial small subunit ribosomal RNA", at positions 357 to 1376 of the family's 1533-position model. The record is from RNAcentral.
AGGAAUAUUGGUCAAUGGGCGAGAGCCUGAACCAGCCAAGUAGCGUGAAGGACGACUGCCCUAUGGGUUGUAAACUUCUUUUAUAAAGGAAUAAAGUCGGGUAUGCAUACCCGUUUGCAUGUACUUUAUGAAUAAGGAUCGGCUAACUCCGUGCCAGCAGCCGCGGUAAUACGGAGGAUCCGAGCGUUAUCCGGAUUUAUUGGGUUUAAAGGGAGCGUAGAUGGAUGUUUAAGUCAGUUGUGAAAGUUUGCGGCUCAACCGUAAAAUUGCAGUUGAUACUGGAUAUCUUGAGUGCAGUUGAGGCAGGCGGAAUUCGUGGUGUAGCGGUGAAAUGCUUAGAUAUCACGAAGAACUCCGAUUGCGAAGGCAGCCUGCUAAGCUGCAACUGACAUUGAGGCUCGAAAGUGUGGGUAUCAAACAGGAUUAGAUACCCUGGUAGUCCACACGGUAAACGAUGAAUACUCGCUGUUUGCGAUAUACUGCAAGCGGCCAAGCGAAAGCGUUAAGUAUUCCACCUGGGGAGUACGCCGGCAACGGUGAAACUCAAAGGAAUUGACGGGGGCCCGCACAAGCGGAGGAACAUGUGGUUUAAUUCGAUGAUACGCGAGGAACCUUACCCGGGCUUAAAUUGCAGAUGAAUUACGGUGAAAGCCGUAAGCCGCAAGGCAUCUGUGAAGGUGCUGCAUGGUUGUCGUCAGCUCGUGCCGUGAGGUGUCGGCUUAAGUGCCAUAACGAGCGCAACCCUUGUUGUCAGUUACUAACAGGUUCCGCUGAGGACUCUGACAAGACUGCCAUCGUAAGAUGUGAGGAAGGUGGGGAUGACGUCAAAUCAGCACGGCCCUUACGUCCGGGGCUACACACGUGUUACAAUGGGGGGUACAGAGGGCCGCUACCACGCGAGUGGAUGCCAAUCCCCAAAACCUCUCUCAGUUCGGACUGGAGUCUGCAACCCGACUCCACGAAGCUGGAUUCGCUAGUAAUCGCGCAUCAGCCACGGCGCGGUGAAUACGUUCCCG